AGUGAACGCUGGCGGCGGGCUUAACACAUGCAAGUCGAACAGCAGCGCAGUAACUUGCUGCUCUUACGGGUGGGGAGACGGGGACGGGAGAGGUGGGUAAACGGACCUACAUUUCGGGGGGGGCUUAGGUAACUGGGCCUACGCUCGUACAGCAUGAUACCUACGGUUCAAUUCAGGGGAUUUUCGGCCCUUUCGGGUUUGAUUGCGUCGUUGCCGCAUUCGCUAGGUGGCUGGGUAAAGGACCACCAAGGCGACCAUCCGUAGCUGGUCUGCGAGGAUGAUCGGCCGCACUGGAACUGAGACACGGACCAUACUCCUACGGGAGGCAGCAGUGGGGAAUAUUGGGCAAUGGGCGCAAGCCUGACACAGCCAUGCCGCGUGAGUGAAGAAGGCCUUCGGGUUGUAAAGCCCUUUUGUUGGGAAAGAACAGCAGUAGCUUAAGACCCCGCUGUUCUGACGGUACCUAAAGAAUAAGCACCGGCUAACUACGUG
Molecule: ribosomal RNA, 492 nt
Filed under: uncultured bacterium
Lineage: Bacteria
Description: partial 16S ribosomal RNA
Rfam family: Bacterial small subunit ribosomal RNA
Source: RNAcentral